Molecule: ribosomal RNA, 464 nt
Filed under: uncultured bacterium
Lineage: Bacteria
Description: partial 16S ribosomal RNA
Rfam family: Bacterial small subunit ribosomal RNA
Source: RNAcentral
GACGAACGCUGGCGGCGUGCUUAACACAUGCAAGUCGAACGGUAAGGCCCUAGCUUGCUGGGGUACACGAGUGGCGAACGGGUGAGUAACACGUGGGUGACCUGCCCCGCACUUCGGGAUAAGCCUGGGAAACUGGGUCUAAUACCGGAUAGGACCGCACCGUGAGGGUGUGGUGGAAGGUUUUUUGGGGUGGGAUGGGUCCGCGGCCUAUCAGCUUGUUGGUGGGGUAAUGGCCUACCAAGGCGGCGACGGGUAGCCGGCCUGAGAGGGUGGACGGCCACAUUGGGACUGAGACACGGCCCAGACUCCUACGGGAGGCAGCAGUGGGGAAUAUUGCACAAUGGGCGGAAGCCUGAUGCAGCGACGCCGCGUGGGGGAUGACGGCCUUCGGGUUGUAAACUCCUUUCGCCAUCGACGAAGCUUUUCUGACGGUAGAUGGAGAAGAAGCACCGGCUAACUACGUG